Molecule: ribosomal RNA, 468 nt
Filed under: uncultured bacterium
Lineage: Bacteria
Description: partial 16S ribosomal RNA
Rfam family: Bacterial small subunit ribosomal RNA
Source: RNAcentral
GAUGAACGCUGGCGGCGUGCCUAACACAUGCAAGUCGAACGGAAAGGCCCUGCUUUUGCGGGGUGCUCGAGUGGCGCACGGGUGAGUAACACACGAGUAUCCCGCACCUGACUUUGUGAUAACUUUAGGGAAAUGCGGAUAAUACCGCAUAGGAGAUACUGAUGCAUGGUGGGCGUUGGAAAGAUUCGGCGGUUGGGGAUGGACUCGAGGCUUAUGAGCUUGUUGGUGGAGUUGUGGCUUACCAAGCUUUCGACGGGUAGCCGGCCUGAGAGGGUAGACAGGGUCAUGGGGACUGAGGGACGGAGCAGUCUGCUACGGUAGGCAGCAGGGGAGAAUAUUGCACAGUGAGGGGAAGCGUGUGGCGGCGGCGCCGCGUGCGUAAUGACGUCCUUCGGGUUGUAAACCGCUUUCGCCUGUGACGAAGCGUGAGUGACGGUAAUGGGUAAAGAAGCACCGGCUAACUACGUG